GAUUGAAUUGAACAUGAAUCUGUGAACUAUCUUCUAGUCCAGUAAGUAUGUAUUAGUACAUGUAUGAAAAUUUUGGCAUCAAACACUUGACAUGAUUUGCAGGUAUAGCUGAGAAUAAUGAUCCAACACUGUCAUUAGAUGAAACACUCAAGGAUAUGCACAGAUUUAAAUUUCAUCAUGAUCAUCUGUCAUAUCUCCCAUCAGCAAUUAGACAUAUAUAAGGAUCGGUGUAAACGUAAAAUGAUAUCUUGCAUGGUCGUUAUUGGACAAUUUUAAAUAGAUUGACGGUUAUGAAGUGAGGUUUGGAAUGAACUUCGUAGACUACAACAAUAACUUGACAAGAUAUCAAAAGCUACAGGCACAACUGUUCAAGAGUUUUCUUGCUAGAACUUAGACUUUCUAAUAUAUAUGUCCCUCUAAUGCAAUGAGAUUCAUAAAAUAAAUAUGUACAAAGUAGUUACAUAUGAUUGUUCUUUCUCCAAAGAAACUAUGUGACUCAUUAUAUUAUGAUUUUUGUGCAUAUUUAGUAUUUUCUCUUA
Lathyrus oleraceus (garden pea) is the source of this 539-nucleotide long non-coding RNA. RefSeq lists it as uncharacterized. The record is from RefSeq and is a predicted model, not a curated record. NCBI's taxonomy places the organism in Eukaryota, Viridiplantae, Streptophyta, Magnoliopsida, Fabales, Fabaceae. The transcript has 2 exons.